CCUACGGGUGGCAGCAGUGGGGAAUAUUGCACAAUGGGGGAAACCCUGAUGCAGCGACGCCGCGUGAGUGAAGAAGUAUUUCGGUAUGUAAAGCUCUAUCAGCAGGGAAGAAAAUGACGGUACCUGACUAAGAAGCCCCGGCUAACUACGUGCCAGCAGCCGCGGUAAUACGUAGGGGGCAAGCGUUAUCCGGAUUUACUGGGUGUAAAGGGAGCGUAGACGGCCAGACAAGUCAGAAGUGAAAGCCCAGGGCACAACCCUGGGACUGCUUUUGAAACUGCCGGGCUGGAGUGGAGGAGAGGUAAGCGGAAUUCCUAGUGUAGCGGUGAAAUGCGUAGAUAUUAGGAGGAACACCAGUGGCGAAGGCGGCUUACUGGACUGUAACUGACGUUGAGGCUCGAAAGCGUGGGGAGCAAACAGGAUUAGAUACCCUUGUAGUC
RNAcentral lists this ribosomal RNA (440 nucleotides) under uncultured bacterium. Its description in RNAcentral is "partial 16S ribosomal RNA". It matches the Rfam family "Bacterial small subunit ribosomal RNA", at positions 338 to 795 of the family's 1533-position model. The record is from RNAcentral.